AGCUCCAAUAGCGUAUAUUAAAGUUGUUGCGGUUAAAAAGCUCGUAGUUGGAUUUCUGUCGAAAACAGCCGGUCCGCUCUAUGAGCGUGUAUCUGGUUUGGUUUUGGCAUCCUCGAGGGGUACUGCGCUGUGCUUGAUUGCAUGGCCAGGAAUUCUCGACUUUUACUUUGAGGAAAUUAGAGUGUUCACGGCAGGCAAGCGCCUUGAAUACAUUAGCAUGGAAUAAUAAUAUAGGACUUUGGUUCUAUUUUGUUGGUUUCUAGAACUAAAGUAAUGAUUAAUAGGGAUAAUUGGGGGCAUUUGUAUUAACGCGUCAGAGGUGGAAUUCUUGGAUUGCGUUACGACAAACUACUGCGAAAGCAUUUGCCAAGGAUGUUUUCA
This 381-nucleotide ribosomal RNA is filed under the name uncultured eukaryote. RNAcentral's name for it is "SSU rRNA". It matches the Rfam family "Eukaryotic small subunit ribosomal RNA", at positions 587 to 972 of the family's 1831-position model. The record is from RNAcentral.